CUGAUUCUACAAAUCAGGCAACAGCCUAAGUAGCUGCCCAUUUAUUUGACCCCAGAAGGACUAUGAUCUAUGUCAUAGACCAUGUCAUAGAUAAGGGUCAAGGCAGCCCUGACGGUCUCUUGCCUUCCUGUCCAUUAUAGUAAUUCCACACACCUAGGUCUGAUGGUGAAGUGUGGUUCCUCCCAAUCUGGUAGUCCACAGUGCCCACUGGCAUUAGGAAGCCCGGUCUCACAGCGGCCUAUCCUUCCUUUGGCAUUGACUUGUCUCCAGAAGACAACCACCAUGCUAUUUUGUGUCUAAAGAAAAACCUCACUAUUUAAAACAACAGAAAUUCCUUCUAAGUUUUAAAAUCUAGAGUCCAAAAUUGAGGGGCCAGUAGGGCCGUGCUCCCUCAGAAGGCUCUAGAGAAGCUCCUCAGCCUCUCCUGGUGCUGGUGGCGGAAGCUACCUUCAUGUUCCUUGGCCAUCGUAGCUAUGCCUGCCUCUACCUCCACGUGGUGUCUUCCCUGAGUGCAGGUGUCUCUGUGCCUGUAUCUCCAAAUCUCCUUCUCCCCAUAAAGAUACCAGCCACUGGCUUUAGAAUCCACCCCAACCCGCCUGACCUCAGGUUGACUGGAUUUCCUCUGCAAAGACCAUAUUUCCAAAUAAGAAUGUGUUCGUAGGAAUGAGGCCAAGAGCUCAACAUAUAUUUUUGGAAGAAGCAAUUCUACCUACAAGACAGGCACCCUUUACAAGGCACUCCUUGUGUCCUGAAUGAAGAGAAUGUCCCCUGGGCCCUCCCGGGAGACAUAACCAGGUGUCACUUCUCAGGCAUUCUAACUUUGCUUUCCUGAGCACUCUGACUGUUCAGGAAGAGUACUGAAUAAGCCCAGGAUGUUCUAGCAUCUCCACUCCAUGCACUAUAUGCCAGCAGCUUCGAGGAGCCAUCUCAAAAAGCUGUUAAGACCAGCUCCUGGUGUCACUGACAUUGACAUGGGACCGGGGACUGGGCUGGAGAAUUUUCCUCUAUCCGGCCUCGUUUUCUGCAGCCUCUGCAGCUCAGCACCUCUGCCAUCCUGUGCCUACCCAGUACUCUCAGCAGAUCCUGCGACUCCUGUGCUGGGCCAGCUGUAUCUUCCCAACGCAGGACAUUCCGCUCCCCUCUCAGGCUGUUCAGAGACCUGACUCUGGUGACCAGGUGGGCGGGUUGCACACAGCAAGUGCCCUUUGUGGAGUCCAUGCCCCAAGGGAAU
RNAcentral lists this long non-coding RNA (1231 nucleotides) under Marmota monax (woodchuck). Lineage: Eukaryota; Metazoa; Chordata; Mammalia; Rodentia; Sciuridae. The record is from RNAcentral.